GUGUCCAUGUAGCUCAGAGGUUAAGGAGACGGACUGGGACUCCUGAGGUUGUGGGUUCAAGCCUUGCCUUAUACA
Non-coding RNA from Xyrichtys novacula (pearly razorfish), 75 nucleotides. Lineage: Eukaryota; Metazoa; Chordata; Actinopteri; Labriformes; Labridae. The record is from the annotation of a GenBank genome assembly.